ACCUGGAUAGCUCAGUUGGUUAGAGCAUGGUGCAGAUAAUGGCAAGGUUGCAGGUUCAAUCCCUGUUGCAUAUU
This is a non-coding RNA of Podarcis lilfordi (Lilford's wall lizard), 74 nucleotides long. The record is from the annotation of a GenBank genome assembly. NCBI's taxonomy places the organism in Eukaryota, Metazoa, Chordata, Lepidosauria, Squamata, Lacertidae.